GGGUUAGUAGGCUGGUCAUGCCACCGGUAUGUACUGGUCUUACUGAUUCCUCCUUCCUGAUGAACUGUAAUGCCAUUAAUUUGGUGUUGCAGGGAAUCUGGACUGUUACUUUGAAAAAAUUAGAGUGUUUAAAGCAGGCUAACGCUUGAAUACAUUAGCAUGGAAUAAUAAAAUAGGACGGCAUGAUUCUAUUUUGUUGGUUUCUAGGAUCACCGUA
RNAcentral lists this ribosomal RNA (217 nucleotides) under Glomus sp. RNAcentral describes it as "partial small subunit ribosomal RNA". The stretch from base 40 to 217 matches the Rfam family "Eukaryotic small subunit ribosomal RNA", at positions 686 to 864 of the family's 1831-position model. Lineage: Eukaryota; Fungi; Glomeromycota; Glomeromycetes; Glomerales; Glomeraceae. The record is from RNAcentral.